AAAAAUCCGAAAAUUCAUAAAAAUUUGAAAAAUUGUUUUUGAAAAUCCAAAAAAAGAGUUGUUUUUGUGCGCUUAUUUGUGUCUUAGGGUACCUUCCAACACAAUGAUGAGGAUUCGGUUUGUAAUUGCAUGACUGUUAAAGAGAGUUAUAAACAUGGAUGAAAGUUUGAUUUACUCUUUAUUUAUGCGUGGUUGUGGUUAUAACUUAUGAAAUCACAUGUAAUCAUAAAAGAAAAAAAUUAGUUUUUGUAACAUGCUUGAAGGAAAGAACUCAAACUAACGCUACAACCUUGUGAGACUUGAGCUUAAACGUUUAUUUGGAGAGUUAAAAUCUGUGCAUUCUUGUUUUCUAAAGUCAUUGCAUGAUCUCAUUAUUCUUUGCUUGGCUAUUACUUAGAAGGCGUUUCAUCAUUUAGUUCCAAAUGCUAGAACUCAUGCCUAUUUCAUUCAAAGCAUGCUAUUGAUUUGCAUAAAACAUAUUCAAGAUGAAGUUGUGUAGUUACCACCACCAAAGCCAAACUGCCAUGUAUCCCAUAUCGUUAUAUGUUUAAGUUAACCCCAUUGAGCCUUGAUAGCCUACAUUCUUUGUUAAACCACAUUAUCCUUACCUAGCCUAGUUUAGGAUCAUCCAUACCCUUGUUCUUGAAGCAUAGUAAAACAUGAUUCAAAUUGAAUUUCUUUUGAUUAAUGUAUGGCAGAAAACAAGUGUGGGGGAAGUGUGAGUUAUUAUGCUUGUUGAAAAGAAAAGAAGAGUUGAGAAAAAAAAAAAAAAAAAAAAAAAAAAAAAAAAAAAAGUUUUAAAGUGCUGCUUGUUGAAGAAAGAGUCCAAAACAUAGAAUUCGGCCCUAAUUAUUGCCUGAAUUUUCCCUUCGUGUCUAAAAGCUGAUUUCUGCAAUCUAAGUGAAUUCUAAGUUUCAAUUUCAUUACUUUACUUGCUAUUGCUUUAAGAACG
RNAcentral lists this long non-coding RNA (952 nucleotides) under Malus domestica (apple). RNAcentral's name for it is "long non-coding RNA (MDOM_LNC003821)". Lineage: Eukaryota; Viridiplantae; Streptophyta; Magnoliopsida; Rosales; Rosaceae. The record is from RNAcentral.